GUGCAACAUCCGCAAUCUCCUUGUCCCCCAUUAGGUUCGUUCAUUUGUCCCUCUCGCUUUCCCAUGGAUGGAUGGAUUGAUCUACCUACGGUUUGCCAUCUCUUUCCUUCCUACUUUUUCCCCCUCGCCCCCUUUCGGAAUUAAAGUUCACAAGCUAGAGCUCGAGCAAAAAAGGAGCUGGAUCUGUGGUGUUGGCGUGCAUAUGCAUAUGCGGGAGGUCCCAUGGCGAUCGAUCGAUGGCGCUUUGAUUUGAUUGCUUUUGAGCGAGGAGGGCCUCGCGUUCGCAUGGGGGGAAUGUACUCGAUGGCCAUGCCAAGGUUUUCAUCCUUCCUCCUGCAGGACACAGCAAAAAGGGAAAGGAAAUGUUCGGUUAGAAUGGCAAUGAAAUUGCUACCAGAGAUGGCAGAUGGAGCACUCAAGUGUACUACUCCAUAACCUGUCACCUGUCCUCUGUUCUUCUUGAUGCAUCUUGGCUGCAGAAAUAAAUGCAAAUUAAUCAUACUACCUCAACAGAUCGGCCGGCGGCAGGCCACUGCUGAUCCAAGAACUGAUCAAGGGAACGUACCCUGUCUGAAAACAAGGCAUUCAUCCUGUUCUUUUUCUUUACCUUGGACCAAGUGAAAUAAGCUGCAGAUUUGACCGCAUUUUGAUGCACUUCUUGCAGUGCACUGUCUGCAUGCUGCGCGGCAAAAUGGAUGGAUGCUGCAGCCACUGCAUGAGGCAGCU
Triticum aestivum (bread wheat) is the source of this 726-nucleotide long non-coding RNA. RefSeq lists it as uncharacterized. The transcript is spliced from 3 exons. The record is from RefSeq and is a predicted model, not a curated record. NCBI's taxonomy places the organism in Eukaryota, Viridiplantae, Streptophyta, Magnoliopsida, Poales, Poaceae.